AUUGAACGCUGGCGGCAUGCUUUACACAUGCAAGUCGGACGGCAGCACAGAGGAGCUUGCUUCUUGGGUGGCGAGUGGCGAACGGGUGAGUAACGCAUCGGAACGUACCGAGUAAUGGGGGAUAACUGUCCGAAAGGACAGCUAAUACCGCAUACGCCCUGAGGGGGAAAGCGGGGGAUCUUAGGACCUCGCGUUAUUCGAGCGGCCGAUGUCUGAUUAGCUGGUUGGCGGGGUAAAGGCCCACCAAGGCGACGAUCAGUAGCGGGUCUGAGAGGAUGAUCCGCCACACUGGGACUGAGACACGGCCCAGACUCCUACGGGAGGCAGCAGUGGGGAAUUUUGGACAAUGGGCGCAAGCCUGAUCCAGCCAUGCCGCGUGUCUGAAGAAGGCCUUCGGGUUGUAAAGGACUUUUGUCAGGGAAGAAAAGGGGCAUGUUAAUACCGUGCUUCUGAUGACUGUACCUGAAGAAU
This 471-nucleotide ribosomal RNA is filed under the name Neisseria bacilliformis. RNAcentral's name for it is "bacterial SSU rRNA". It matches the Rfam family "Bacterial small subunit ribosomal RNA", at positions 30 to 487 of the family's 1533-position model. Lineage: Bacteria; Pseudomonadati; Pseudomonadota; Betaproteobacteria; Neisseriales; Neisseriaceae. The record is from RNAcentral.